AGUUGGGUCACCCUGGCAGCUGUGUGGAGGAUGAAAGCAAGGGAGGCAAUUCAACACACUGCCAUCAUGGGGUGGCAUGGUCCUUCUGCUGUGUUCUGAGAGGAGUUGGGAAGACCAUUUGCAAUCAUCCUCUUCUCUAAGCAAAGCAUAAAGAGAACAAGACCUGCCCAUGAUUGCCUCUUUUAAGGCCUUGCGUAAUCACAGAGAAUGACAAUAGGCUGGAGGUGACCCCAGCUGGCCCUCCACUGCUGCUGUUGGACACGUUGAUAGCACAGGGCAGAGAGUGUGAUGGAGGCCUGUGGGGACAUUUGGUUGUUGAACUUUUCAAAGUCCAAAUGAUGCUGGCCAUAAAGGAAAGGGCCUGAAGGCUCCAGGGCUAUUCCUUAUGUGAACAGUAAAUUCUCAAGAAGAGGGGAUAGAAAGCUGCAUUAGGGUCUAUGUCAUGCAGACUGGAGUAGAGUGGCACGAUCUGGGCUUCUUGCAACCUCCACAUCCUGGGCUUAAGUGAUCCUCCUACCUCAGCCUGCUGAAUAGCUGGGACUGCAGGUGUGAGCCACCAUGCCUGGCUAAUUUUUGUAGAGGCUGGGUUUCACCAUGUUGCCCAGGCUAACCUCAAACUCCUGGGCACAAGCGAUCCAACCAUCUUGGCCUCCCAAAGUGCUGGGAUUACAGGUGUGAGCCACCAUGCCCUGCCAUCAAUUUUCAAUAAAAGACAUGAACCUUGGAAGUCCUAAACUGUCAUGGAAGACACACAGCUGAAGUGAUCUUGCUGGAGAGACCAUGCAGAGAGACAACGUGGAGACAGAGAAACAUGUGGGAGGAUCCUCAGCUGCUCUGGCCACCAGAUGCCUCAGUCUCUCUGGGCCCAGAGGAGAAGUAUGGUAUUUUAUGAGAAGACAUGCUAUGAAUGAUGAAAGGCUCGAUUUCAGCAAGUCACAGGCAGAAAAGUCCAAAACAAUUGAAUAGAACUGCAGCAUUGUUGAAAACUUGGACUGGAAUUUACACUAUUAGCAACUCUCCUGGUUCUCAAGCCUUCAAAUUUAGACUGCAUCUAUACUUUCCUGGGUCUCCAGCUUGCUGACUGCAAAUAUUGGGACUUCUCAGCCAUCGUAAUCAUUGCCUGCAUUGGCCCAAAAUUCAACUCUUAUUUCAGUUUUCUACCUCACUGCAAUACCUUCUGAACAUCUUUACAAUGUCAGCAUCCAAUUUCACA
Long non-coding RNA from Symphalangus syndactylus (siamang), 1213 nucleotides. RefSeq lists it as uncharacterized. NCBI's taxonomy places the organism in Eukaryota, Metazoa, Chordata, Mammalia, Primates, Hylobatidae. The record is from RefSeq and is a predicted model, not a curated record.